RNAcentral lists this ribosomal RNA (497 nucleotides) under uncultured bacterium. Its description in RNAcentral is "partial 16S ribosomal RNA". It matches the Rfam family "Bacterial small subunit ribosomal RNA", at positions 28 to 507 of the family's 1533-position model. The record is from RNAcentral.
GACGAACGCUGGCGGCGUGCCUAAUACAUGCAAGUUGAGCGCUGAAGGUUGGUACUUGUACCAACUGGAUGAGCAGCGAACGGGUGAGUAACGCGUGGGGAAUCUGCCUUUGAGCGGGGGACAACAUUUGGAAACGAAUGCUAAUACCGCAUAAAAACUUUAAACACAAGUUUUAAGUUUGAAAGAUGCAAUUGCAUCACUCAAAGAUGAUCCCGCGUUGUAUUAGCUAGUUGGUGAGGUAAAGGCUCACCAAGGCGAUGAUACAUAGCCGACCUGAGAGGGUGAUCGGCCACAUUGGAACUGAGACACGGCCCAAACUCCUACGGGAGGCAGCAGUAGGGAAUCUUCGGCAAUAGACGAAAGUCUGACCGAGCAACGCCGCGUGAGUGAAGAAGGUUUUCGCAUCGUAAAACUCUGUUGGUAGAGAAGAACGUUGGUGAGAGUGGAAAGCUCAUCAAGUGACGGUAACUACCCAGAAAGGGACGGCUAACUACGUG